GGGGCCUUAGCUUAAUUAAAGUGUCUGUGUUGCAGUCAGAGGAUGUAGAUUAGAGUUCCACAGGUCCUGCGG
This 72-nucleotide transfer RNA is filed under the name Pseudogonatodes guianensis. Its description in RNAcentral is "tRNA-Ala". It matches the Rfam family "tRNA". Rfam says of the family: Transfer RNA (tRNA) molecules are approximately 80 nucleotides in length. Their secondary structure includes four short double-helical elements and three loops (D, anti-codon, and T loops). The record is from RNAcentral. Lineage: Eukaryota; Metazoa; Chordata; Lepidosauria; Squamata; Sphaerodactylidae.